Molecule: long non-coding RNA, 1369 nt
Filed under: Heterocephalus glaber (naked mole-rat)
Lineage: Eukaryota; Metazoa; Chordata; Mammalia; Rodentia; Bathyergidae
Description: lncRNA (ENSHGLG00000039019.1)
Source: RNAcentral
CCAUCUUCGCAGCGGCGGUUGCAGGGAUUCAGGGGAGGGAGCCGGCGGGAACCGAGUGUGCGGAACAACCUCCUCACACCAGCAGGACGAGAAAGCGAGCGCAGAGCCGACGCGGCACCGUGAGCCUACUAAGGGGCGGUCGCGCGCCUCGGGUCAAAAUGCGCCUGCGCACGUCACGCACUGCCCGCGUUGCUACACGACGGGCCGGCCCGGCAAUGCCCCGCCCCGGGGGCAGCCUGGAGUCCGGACUGCGGGGGCGUCGCUCACCUGCCCGGGGCUGAGGGGCGGGACCCCUUCGCCAGCUCCAGUCUUGAGGGGCGCGGGCAGGUUCUACUUCCUCAACUGCAGCCCUCCGAUGAUUGGCCAGCUAGACACGGCGGACCCUCGCGUGAGAGGAAAAAUCUGCACAUUUUUCCUUCUUCGCGAGGCGACUGAGGCCCGCUCUGGGCACCCUGUGAGUCAGCGCUAAUGUGAGGUCUGGAGAACAGGCGCGAUUUGUUUAUCUUCGGUCCAGGCCGGGAAGGAGCCGUGGCCCAGGGUGUGGCCAGGGCGGCAGUUGAACUGCUCCGGGCCCGGGGUUUUCUACUCGCGAACUGUGGUUGCACCAGAAACAGCUUGCAGGGGACCAGAAGGAAUCCCAGCGCUUUUCUAACGCAUGUUUUUGUGGGGAAUACAGGGGACAGGAAGAAUUUACAACUGGGAAGAUUACUGAACUUUAUAUUAAGUUGUACCUAAUUUAGGCAGCCAAGAGCAUAAUGAUUUAUACCGAAACUGUUUUGAUUCUCCAGAUAUGACGAUUUGGACAAGAUGACACUUAAUCUUUGGGGGAAAAUAACUCUCAACCUGCUGGAGGCCAGAUGUGCUGAGUUUUUGUCUCCUGAGAAAGGAAGGAGGUGAAGAGUAAGGAAAGGUUUACCGACAGCUCCUGAGAGACAGGAGGGGUCCCAGAAGUGCGUGGCCCCACAGGCGCUUUCUCCAAGAAUGUUCUAUGGAGCAAAAUCACAAGGGAGAUUCUCAGGCCUGGCCAUAUUGUCUCCAUCUUGAGUCCUGGCCCCCUUCAGAUGUGCCUUCAGCAGCAGUUUUGAUGUGUUUUCAUCUUCCACACUGACUCCCUUGAGGGCUUAUCCCUGUCUGACUACCUAUUAAUUUCUACCUAACUUAGCUGUCUAGUAUCUUGAUCUUGUACCUUCCAGCCUCCAAAGCAAUAGGAAUAUAUCUCUGUUUUCUCUGCUGACCCCCAGUCUGUGUGUGGCUUUGUGCUGUACAGCCUGAACAGACUAUAACACAUAAAGUCUCUCCUUGAAUACAGCAUGGGUAUGUUCCAUUUCUGAUUUAGAAGACGUUUUGCAAAUGCAGUACUUGAUCUAUG